Long non-coding RNA from Patella vulgata (common limpet), 898 nucleotides. RefSeq lists it as uncharacterized. Lineage: Eukaryota; Metazoa; Mollusca; Gastropoda; Patellidae. The record is from RefSeq and is a predicted model, not a curated record. The transcript has 3 exons.
UACCGAGUCAGUUACUAAAAUAAUGUAUGGGUUUAUACAAACGGGGAUUCCUAAAAAAUAAUAUUGUUUGCAGAAAGCCUCGCCCCGGUGCAGAAGCUCGUGUAUUUAUGUUAUAUGGUGACCGAUCACGCCCAUUACGUCAUCAAUAUGUCUGAUCAAUCAGAAUCAACUAAAACAAACCCUGUUAUAUACAGUUUUCACGGCACAAGUAACGUACAGUUGGGUAAUCAUAACAUCGUCGAUAACCGCCUUACUAAUCAACUAACAGAAGACGUGGACGCCAUGAAAUAUGAACUCGCUAUUAGGGACGAUAAAAUAGAGACAUUAACGCGUGGAAUGAACCAACUGACAGAGAGAGUGAGGAUUCUAGAAGAUGAAAAGGUGGUCAAGAAAACAAACGUUAAUAAAAAUUCAGACAAGACAGACGAAAUGAUUACUCUCAAUAUAUAUCGUGGGUAUGAUAAGAUGACUAUAAGUAGAGAUCAAACAGUGGAUGAAUUAGAGAAGAUGAUACUGGAGGAGAACAGAAAGAAGUAUGGUGUAGGGUAUCAUGGUUUUAUUGGUUCUAUCUACAGUGAUGAUGAUAAACAGGUCAAGUACCGCUACAAACACCACAACAAACAUCUUCCAUUAUCACACUAUAAUAUAACAGAUAGAGAUAGGGUCUACUGGUUGUUAUAGUCUGUUGAUGGUGUAUAAAAUAUUAAAUCAUAUAUACUAACUAUAAAACAAUAUUAAACAUUUAACUUGAACAAUGAAUUCUAUCUAUAUAUACUAACUAUUAAACAAUAUUAAACAUUUAACUUGAACAUUGAAUUCUAUCUAUAUAUAUACUAACUAUAAAACAAUAUUAAACAUUUAACUAGAACAUAUUAUACUGUAUAAAGUAAUGAUAUAG